RNAcentral lists this ribosomal RNA (252 nucleotides) under uncultured bacterium. RNAcentral describes it as "partial 16S ribosomal RNA". It matches the Rfam family "Bacterial small subunit ribosomal RNA", at positions 524 to 776 of the family's 1533-position model. The record is from RNAcentral.
UACGGGGGGGGCAAGCGUUGUUCGGAAUUACUGGGCGUAAAGGGUGCGUAGGCGGGAAUGAAAGUCAGCUGUGAAAUCCCGAGGCUCAACCUCGGAACUGCAUUUGAAACUCCAUUUCUGGAGGGUAGUCGGAGAAAACGGAAUUCCACAAGUAGCGGUGAAAUGCGUAGAUAUGUGGAAGAACACCUGUGGCGAAAGCGGUUUCUAGAUUAUUCCUGACGCUAAGGCACGAAAGCAAGGGGAGCAAACAGG